CAGGACAUGACCUCAGGCAAGACUACCCGCUGAACUUAAGCAUAUAACUAAGCGGAGGAAAAGAAACUAACCAGGAUUCCCCCAGUAACGGCGAGUGAAGCGGGAAGAGCUCAAGCUUAAAAUCUCCUUGCAGUCUCUGCUCGGCGAAUUGUAGUCUAUCGAGGCGAAGUCAGCACGCAGGAUCCGGCCAAGUUCCUUGGAAGAGGACAGCAUGGAGGGUUACACUCCCGUCUCUGCCGGCAAAUGCGCGCGUACGACUCGUCUUCUUUGAGUCGCGUUGUUUGGGAAUGCAGCGCAAAGCAGGUGGUAAAUUCCAUCUAAAGCUAAAUACUGGUGCGAGACCGAUAGCGAACAAGUACCGUGAGGGAAAGAUGAAAAGAACUUUGAAAAGAGAGUUAAAGAGUACCUGAAACUGCUGAAAGGGAAGCGAAUCGCGUCCGCUGUCCAUUCCGUGGUCAACCGCUUCGGCGACUGCCACGGAGGAGUCAAAGUCAGUUUGGUGUCGAAGGUAAAGUCGACAGUGCGCGUAGCAUGGCUGACUUUCGGGUCCGGGCCCUACGAGAAACGUUGUGCGUAGCCUCGACGAAGACUGAGGCGAUAACAGCAACCGUGUGUGCUCCGUAAGUUUGUGCGGAGAUCGGGUAGGCAGGUCCUACCUCCUGGCGAGAUGCACCACUAUCAAUGAGACGCAUGCACGCGAGCGGAUGCGCACACACGCUGUUCGGGACUUUGAUCGAAUGGAGCGAUUCGGCCCGUCUUGAAACACGGACCAAGGAGUCUAACAUGUGUGCAAGUGUUUGGGUGGCAAACCCAGACGCGCAAUGAAAGUAAAGGGCUCAAGCCCGAGGUAGGAAGGUCUCUUGUGGGACUGGCACUAUCGACCGAUCAUGCGCCUCCGGGCAAAAGAUUUGAGUUGGAGCACAUAUGUUGGUACCCGAAAGAUGGUGAACUAUGCCUGAGUAGGGUGAAGCCAGAGGAAACUCUGGUGGAAGCUCGAAGCGAUUCUGACGUGCAAAUCGAUCGUCGAACUUGGGUAUAGGGGCGAAAGACUAAUCGAACCAUCUAGUAGCUGGUUCCCUCCGAAAUUUCCCUCAGGAUAGCGGCAACGGAUUACGAUAGUUUUAUGAGGUAAAGCGAAUGAUUAGAGGCUUUGGGGAAGAAACUUCCUUGACCUAUUCUCAAACUUUAAAUUUGUAAGACCCGCAGGUUUCUGUCUGAACCUGCGGUGCGAAUAUCUAGUUGCUAGUGGGCCAUACGGGGUAAGCUCGUCUGGCGAUGCGGGAUGAACCGAACGCAAAGUUAAAGUGCCAAAGUGCACGCUCACCUAGAUACCAUAAAAAGUGUUGGUUCAUUUGGACAGCAGGACGGUGGCCAUGGAAGUCGGAAUCCGCUAA
This 1394-nucleotide ribosomal RNA is filed under the name Pustula obtusata. Its description in RNAcentral is "eukaryotic LSU rRNA". It matches the Rfam family "Eukaryotic large subunit ribosomal RNA", at positions 1 to 1274 of the family's 3401-position model. The record is from RNAcentral. Lineage: Eukaryota; Oomycota; Peronosporomycetes; Albuginales; Albuginaceae.